This 223-nucleotide long non-coding RNA is filed under the name Lathyrus oleraceus (garden pea). RNAcentral describes it as "Pisum sativum (pea) long non-coding RNA (PSAT_LNC015121)". Lineage: Eukaryota; Viridiplantae; Streptophyta; Magnoliopsida; Fabales; Fabaceae. The record is from RNAcentral.
UCAGAUAUAUUAUCUUGAAUUAAUUUAUCUAAGUUCAAUUAUUUAUCUUUCCAUGCAAUCCUAUUAGCAUACAUGUAGACAGUUAUAUUCACAGUAUGGAAAAAUUAAAGUGCGAAAAAUAAGAUUACGCUAUUACAUGGCUUCGGGAUGGGGGGUACAUAAUUUAAAAGGGGAUAUAAAAUAUCUAUAUCUUAAUUAACGAGUACAAAAUUAAAAGGGCAUA